Prionailurus viverrinus (fishing cat) is the source of this 443-nucleotide long non-coding RNA. RefSeq lists it as uncharacterized. The transcript has 3 exons. Lineage: Eukaryota; Metazoa; Chordata; Mammalia; Carnivora; Felidae. The record is from RefSeq and is a predicted model, not a curated record.
GGAGAAGACAAAGGGGACCCUGGCGUGAGAAAGGACUCCGAGACCCUUAUCUCUGCUGGUCAAAUGUAGCAGAUCCAGAGAACGGUGCUCAGGAUCCAGAACCACUAGAUGGAAGAAGUCUGGUUCCUGAGUCAGUGUGUGCAAGGUUGCCUCUCAGACAUCCAAGCUUCCUUCCGAGCACUGAGGAAGAAGAGAUGAUCUGGACCAAGACCUCCUGCACAGAGUUUCCUUCCCAGUUAGGAAAUAGACACAAGGAAGACAUGGCAUCAUACCACGGUAUGCGGUGUAAACAAAUUUAAACAGAGAAUGACAGGUGUGACUUGAGCCUAGGGAGUAAACGAGAUUUUAAGUAAGGAUGUGCAUGGAAAGCUUAUCUGAGGAGGUGACAUGGGAGCCAAGACCUGAAGAAAGCGCAAGAGGGUGGGGGCAGAAGGGGUAGUAAG